RNAcentral lists this transfer RNA (87 nucleotides) under Thiocapsa roseopersicina. Its description in RNAcentral is "tRNA_Ser_TGA". It matches the Rfam family "tRNA". Rfam says of the family: Transfer RNA (tRNA) molecules are approximately 80 nucleotides in length. Their secondary structure includes four short double-helical elements and three loops (D, anti-codon, and T loops). Lineage: Bacteria; Pseudomonadati; Pseudomonadota; Gammaproteobacteria; Chromatiales; Chromatiaceae. The record is from RNAcentral.
GGAGAGGUGGCUGAGCGGUCGAAAGCGGCGGUCUUGAAAACCGUUGAGGGUUCAUCCCCUCCGUGGGUUCGAAUCCCACCCUCUCCG